This 74-nucleotide transfer RNA is filed under the name Euryarchaeota archaeon RBG_16_68_12. Its description in RNAcentral is "tRNA-Asp". It matches the Rfam family "tRNA". From Rfam's summary of the family: Transfer RNA (tRNA) molecules are approximately 80 nucleotides in length. Their secondary structure includes four short double-helical elements and three loops (D, anti-codon, and T loops). The record is from RNAcentral. Lineage: Archaea; Methanobacteriati; Methanobacteriota.
GCCCUCGUGGUCCAACCCGGUCAGGAUGCCGCCCCGUCACGGCGGCGGUCCGCGUUCGAAUCGCGGCGGGGGCG